UGGGGAAUCUUGCGCAAUGGUCGAAAGACUGACGCAGCGACGCCGCGUGCGGGAGGAAGCUCUUCGGGGUGUAAACCGCUGUUGCCCGGGACGAAUGCCGCUUUCGAGCGGAGUGACGGUACCGGGUGAGGAAGCGCCGGCUAACUCUGUGCCAGCAGCCGCGGUAAUACGGAGGGCGCGAGCGUUGUCCGGAAUCACUGGGCGUAAAGGGCGCGUAGGUGGCGGCAUAAGGCUGUGGUGAAAGUCCGGGGCUCAACUCCGGAUCGGCCGUGGCAACUGUGUCGCUAGGGCACCGUAGAGGCAGAUGGAAUUCCGGGUGUAGCGGUGGAAUGCGUAGAGAUCCGGAAGAACACCAGUGGCGAAGGCGGUCUGCUGGGCGGUGGGAGCGCAAGCUCCUUUUGAGCCGACACUGAGGCGCGACAGCGUGGGGAGCAAACAGGAUUAGAUACCCUGGUAGUCCACGCCGUAAACGAUGGGCACUAGGUGCUCUGGGGAGCGACCCCCGGGGUACCGACGCUAACGCAUGAAGUGCCCCGCCUGGGGAGUACGGCCGCAAGGCUGA
This 562-nucleotide ribosomal RNA is filed under the name uncultured Gemmatimonas sp. RNAcentral's name for it is "bacterial SSU rRNA". It matches the Rfam family "Bacterial small subunit ribosomal RNA", at positions 355 to 897 of the family's 1533-position model. The record is from RNAcentral. Lineage: Bacteria; Pseudomonadati; Gemmatimonadota; Gemmatimonadia; Gemmatimonadales; Gemmatimonadaceae.